This 433-nucleotide ribosomal RNA is filed under the name uncultured bacterium. Its description in RNAcentral is "partial 16S ribosomal RNA". It matches the Rfam family "Bacterial small subunit ribosomal RNA", at positions 29 to 507 of the family's 1533-position model. The record is from RNAcentral.
AACGAACGCUGGCGGCAUGCCUAACACAUGCAAGUCGAACGAUCCCUUCGGGGAUAGUGGCGCACGGGUGCGUAACGCGUGGGAACCUGCCCUUAGGUUCGGAAUAACUCAGAGAAAUUUGAGCUAAUACCGGAUAAUGUCUUCGGACCAAAGAUUUAUCGCCUUUGGAUGGGCCCGCGUUGGAUUAGCUAGUUGGUGGGGUAAAGGCCUACCAAGGCGACGAUCCAUAGCUGGUCUGAGAGGAUGAUCAGCCACACUGGGACUGAGACACGGGCCAGACUCCUACGGGAGGCAGCAGUGGGGAAUAUUGGACAAUGGGCGAAAGCCUGAUCCAGCAAUGCCGCGUGAGUGAUGAAGGCCUUAGGGUUGUAAAGCUCUUUUACCCGGGAUGAUAAUGACAGUACCGGGAGAAUAAGCCCCGGCUAACUCCGUG